UACGGAGGAUGCGAGCGUUAUCCGGAUUUAUUGGGUUUAAAGGGUGCGUAGGCGGGUUAUCAAGUCAGCGGUAAAAUCGUGGAGCUCAACUCCAUCCAGCCGUUGAAACUGAUGAUCUUGAGUGGGCGAGAAGUAUGCGGAAUGCGUGGUGUAGCGGUGAAAUGCAUAGAUAUCACGCAGAACUCCGACUGCGAAGGCAGCAUACCGGCGCCCGACUGACGCUGAAGCACGAAAGCGUGGGUAUCGAACAGG
This 252-nucleotide ribosomal RNA is filed under the name uncultured bacterium. RNAcentral's name for it is "partial 16S ribosomal RNA". It matches the Rfam family "Bacterial small subunit ribosomal RNA", at positions 524 to 776 of the family's 1533-position model. The record is from RNAcentral.